Prionailurus viverrinus (fishing cat) is the source of this 1134-nucleotide long non-coding RNA. RefSeq lists it as uncharacterized. The record is from RefSeq and is a predicted model, not a curated record. The transcript is spliced from 3 exons. NCBI's taxonomy places the organism in Eukaryota, Metazoa, Chordata, Mammalia, Carnivora, Felidae.
AGCAAGCUCAGGCUUGGCCAAAUGGUUUGUUUUGGCGAAUGAAAAGCGAGUGGAAGUGAUAGGUGCUGCUUCGUUUAAGAUCUUUCCCUUGGUUCCACCGUCAUUCUUUGCCUCCUGUCCUGAGACCAGUAUAUCCCAGAGAGGACUGCUUGACGGCCUUGUGGAAUGAAGACCAGAACCUCAGCCGGCCUGCAGCCCAUCUUCCAUAAGCCUUGAUCAUGCACAACUGGAUGAAAGUGGAGGAAAGGAGAAAGCCCAGAAAAAGUCAAAUGGAUGGUGGAAGAAUCUGUGUGCGUUCACGCUCCAGCAUGGGUGGACCUUGAGGACAUGUGCCGAGUGAAAUAAGCCAGACACAAAAGGACAAAUACUGUAGGAUUCCACCUACAUGAGGUUAACAUUACUUGGUGAUGAGAGGUGGGAUCCAGAGAAGACCCCCAGCAACUUCGGAGGUGAGCCAAAUAGGUGGCGCCCCCCACAGAUCUAGUUGGGUUCACGCUCUUUCGCCAACCCCGGAGUCGGAGGGUAUGUCCUCGCCUGAAUUUCGAGCUCCGUUCUUUGUAUUAGAGCCGUCCAAACUUUAUGUGAGAUCUGUUUUAAGGCUUGUUCUCUCGAAGAGGACUGAUUUGGCCUUCAGUCGGACUCCUUUUUGCCAUUGGAUUGUUCCUGUUGGAAUUGUGCCAGUUUGAACUGCGUUGGCCUUUGGUCCAAUUCUUGUUUUAGGAUCAACCUCUGCCUGUUGGAACUGUCCUACUCUUGUUUGGAACUGGACGGUUCCUCCUGGAUCGAUGCAGGACUUUGGUCUGAUUCCUUCUGGAACCAGGCUGUUCCUGUCGAAAUCGUGCUGUUUAGGAAUUUUUCUCUUUGAUCUAGAGAAAAACCUCCAAGAAAUGGGAUCCCAGUCAUCAAAAUAUUUUGAGCCCACGUCCCUCCACACCCUCACUCCGGCGUCUGGUUUGAUGUUUAAAAACUAUGUGGCUUCACAUACACAUUUAUAACUAAAUAGACUGACUUAACCAAAAAUAAUUUAGAACUUCAGUGGCCAUUAUGGGGAACUUUUGCUCUCCCAAACUUGUUUUACUCAAAAUUAAAUUGGAAAGAUGCAGCUUCUAGGGGGGAAAAACUGAGAUGCCUACC